CCUACGGGAGGCUGCAGUGAGGAAUAUUGGUCAAUGGGCUUACGCCUGAACCAGCCAAGUCGCGUGAGGGAAGACUGCCCUAUGGGUUGUAAACCUCUUUUGUCAGGGAGCAACGCCGGCUACGUGUAGCCGGACUGAGAGUACCUGAAGAAAAAGCAUCGGCUAACUCCGUGCCAGCAGCCGCGGUAAUACGGAGGAUGCGAGCGUUAUCCGGAUUUAUUGGGUUUAAAGGGUGCGUAGGCGGGUUAUCAAGUCAGCGGUAAAAUCGUGGAGCUCAACUCCAUCCAGCCGUUGUAACUGAUGAUCUUGAGUGGGCGAGAAGUAUGCGGAAUGCGUGGUGUAGCGGUGAAAUGCAUAGAUAUCACGCAGAACUCCGAUUGCGAAGGCAGCAUACCGGCGCCCGACUGACGCUGAAGCACGAAAGCGUGGGUAUCGAACAGGAUUAGAUACCCCAGUAGUC
This 460-nucleotide ribosomal RNA is filed under the name uncultured bacterium. RNAcentral's name for it is "partial 16S ribosomal RNA". It matches the Rfam family "Bacterial small subunit ribosomal RNA", at positions 338 to 795 of the family's 1533-position model. The record is from RNAcentral.